RNAcentral lists this ribosomal RNA (228 nucleotides) under uncultured bacterium. RNAcentral's name for it is "partial 16S ribosomal RNA". It matches the Rfam family "Bacterial small subunit ribosomal RNA", at positions 568 to 796 of the family's 1533-position model. The record is from RNAcentral.
UCCGUAGGUGGAUAAUUAAGUCAGAGGUGAAAUCCUGCAGCUCAACUGUAGAAUUGCCUUUGAUACUGGUUAUCUUGAGUUAUUAUGAAGUAGUUAGAAUAUGUAGUGUAGCGGUGAAAUGCAUAGAUAUUACAUAGAAUACCAAUUGCGAAGGCAGAUUACUAAUAAUCAACUGACACUGAUGGACGAAAGCGUGGGGAGCGAACAGGAUUAGAACCCUGGUAGUCC